CCUUACCUGGCCUUGACAUCCAGAGAACUUUCCAGAGAUGGAUUGGUGCCUUCGGGAACUCUGAGACAGGUGCUGCAUGGCCGUCGUCAGCUCGUGUCGUGAGAUGUUGGGUUAAGUCCCGUAACGAGCGCAACCCCUAUCCCUGGUUGCUAGCAGGUAAUGCUGAGAACUCCAGGGAGACUGCCGGUGACAAACCGGAGGAAGGUGGGGAUGACGUCAGGUCAUCAUGGCCCUUACGGCCAGGGCUACACACGUGCUACAAUGGCGCGUACAGAGGGCUGCCAACUCGCGAGAGUGAGCCAAUCCCUUAAAACGCGUCGUAGUCCGGAUCGGAGUCUGCAACUCGACUCCGUGAAGUCGGAAUCGCUAGUAAUGGCGAAUCAGAAUGUCGCAGUGAAUACGUUCCC
Molecule: ribosomal RNA, 407 nt
Filed under: uncultured bacterium
Lineage: Bacteria
Description: bacterial SSU rRNA
Rfam family: Bacterial small subunit ribosomal RNA
Source: RNAcentral